Molecule: ribosomal RNA, 119 nt
Filed under: Clostridioides sp. ES-S-0056-01
Lineage: Bacteria; Bacillati; Bacillota; Clostridia; Peptostreptococcales; Peptostreptococcaceae
Also listed under: 2 other names
Description: partial 23S ribosomal RNA
Rfam family: Bacterial large subunit ribosomal RNA
Source: RNAcentral
UUCCCACCGCAAGGGUAAGACCCCAGAAAGACUAUCUGGUUGAUAGGUCGAAGGUGUAAGUGCAGUAAUGUAUUUAGCUUAUCGAUACUAAUAGGUCGAGGACUUGACCAAUAUUUAUU